This 253-nucleotide ribosomal RNA is filed under the name uncultured bacterium. RNAcentral describes it as "partial 16S ribosomal RNA". It matches the Rfam family "Bacterial small subunit ribosomal RNA", at positions 524 to 776 of the family's 1533-position model. The record is from RNAcentral.
UACGAAGGGGGCUAGCGUUGUUCGGAAUUACUGGGCGUAAAGCGCACGUAGGCGGAUACUUAAGUUAGGGGUGAAAUCCCGGGGCUCAACCCCGGAACUGCCUUUGAUACUGGGUAUCUGGAGUCCGAGAGAGGUGAGUGGAAUUCCGAGUGUAGAGGUGAAAUUCGUAGAUAUUCGGAGGAACACCAGUGGCGAAGGCGGCUCACUGGCUCGGUACUGACGCUGAGGUGCGAAAGCGUGGGGAGCAAACAGG